AGACUCUGUGCGCGUGCAUAUCAAUAAGCGGAGGAAAAGAAACUAACUAAGGAUUCCCUCAGUAACGGCGAGUGAAGCGGGAAGAGCUCAAAUUUGAAAUCUUCAAGGUUUCUACCUUGACGAAUUGUAGUUUAAAGAAGUGUUUUCUGUUGGAGUUUUGGUAAAAGUUCUUUGGAAUAGGACAUCAUAGAGGGUGAGAAUCCCGUAUUUGACCAUUAUUUCCAGACUGUGUGAUACACUUUCAAAGAGUCGGAUUGUUUGGGAAUGCAGUCCAAAAUGGGUGGUAAAUUUCAUCUAAAGCUAAAUACUGGCGAGAGACCGAUAGCGAACAAGUACCGUGAGGGAAAGAUGAAAAGAACUUUGAAAAGAGAGUUAAACAGUACGUGAAAUUGUCAAAAGGGAAGCGUUUGACACCAGUGUUGUUUUCUCGAAAAUCAAUUAAAAAUGAUGGGAUGUUUGUGUUGUAUUGACUUUAUCAGCUUUCUGCACUCUUUUUCCUAUCUUUUUUAAUGCACUUUUCGUUUAACAAGUCAACAUCAAUUUCUUUUGUUGUAAAAGAGUCAUUGGAAGGUGGCUUUCUUUUCGGAGAAAGUGUUUAUAGCCUUUGGCUUCUGCAAUCGGAGAGAUUGAGGUCUGCAGCGUAGAUCCUUCGGGGUUAGAUACGUUUGUGCUAAGUUAUAGCCUUUCAUAGACAACUUGUUGACUAUGAUCAGUCAUGUAGCUUACUCGCUUAUGCGCAUUUUACCUACGCUUAGGAUGUUGAACUCUAUCACACACAG
RNAcentral lists this ribosomal RNA (779 nucleotides) under uncultured Neocallimastigales. RNAcentral describes it as "partial large subunit ribosomal RNA". It matches the Rfam family "Eukaryotic large subunit ribosomal RNA", at positions 23 to 628 of the family's 3401-position model. The record is from RNAcentral. Lineage: Eukaryota; Fungi; Neocallimastigomycota; Neocallimastigomycetes; Neocallimastigales.